CUUUUUAUAAGGUAUAUUUGAUUACUAUUUUUGGCUCCCGUAUUUUGUAAGCAAGCAAAGUAUUGAAAUAUAGCUAAGAAACUUGGCUCUGAUUUUUAGAUAUGGCAUAAACUAAAAAAUACACAUGGUUUUUAUUAAAAGAGGCGAGGUAGAAAGAUUAAUAAUUUUGAUUAAGAAUUAAAGUUUUAUUUAUUUUUCUAAAACAUUAUAGAAAUAUAAAACGUUUUGAAAAUCCCCGUUAACACCAGUGUCGAAGAUUAGAAAAGAGUGGGAGCUUGUUCUAGUUAAGUAAAUUAAAUUUGGUUAACUUGGUGCCAGCAUCCGCGGUUAGACCAAGAAAUUAAGUCAUAUUUAUUACGGUAAAAAGACAGUUAAAUUAAUAAAAUUAGUAAUCUGAUUAUUUAUAAAGAAGUAAAAUUCGAAUAUAAAUAUAUAUUUCAAAAAAAACUAAAAAAUUGAAUCUGUGAUAGCUUUAAGGGAAACUGGGAUUUGAUACCCCAUUAUUUUUAGCCGUAAAUAAAUCAAAUUUACAUAUUUACCAGAGUACUACGAAUCCAAAAAUUUAAAACUCAAAGAGCUUGGCGGUGCUUUAGACCACUUAGGGGAACCUGUCUCAUAAUCGACAAUCCACGUUAAACCUUACCUCUUUUUGCAGUCAGUUUGUAUACCGUCGUCGUCAGGUGACUCCUAAAGAAAUUGAAGUCAGCUAGAUAAUUAUUAAUUAAAACGUCAGAUCAGGGUGCAACUUAUAAAGGGGAGAAGAUGGGUUACAAUUAGAAAUUUCUAAUCACGAAAAACUAUUUGAAUAAAUAUUUAAGAAGGAGGACUUAAAAGUAAUUUCGAUUAUAUAAAAACUUUGAAUUAGGCUCUGAAGCGUGCACACAUCGCCCGUCGCUCUCGUUGAAAAAUGAGAUAAGUCGUAACAUAGUAGGGGUAAUGGAAAUUGUUCCUGGAUG
RNAcentral lists this ribosomal RNA (956 nucleotides) under Profundiconus teramachii. RNAcentral's name for it is "12S ribosomal RNA". The stretch from base 243 to 956 matches the Rfam family "Microsporidia small subunit ribosomal RNA". Lineage: Eukaryota; Metazoa; Mollusca; Gastropoda; Neogastropoda; Conidae. The record is from RNAcentral.